GCCCCUGUGGCGGAAUGGCAGACGCGCUCGACUCAAAAUCGAGUGCCGCGAGGCGUGAGGGUUCGAGUCCCUCCAGGGGCA
This 81-nucleotide transfer RNA is filed under the name Cellulomonas fimi. It matches the Rfam family "tRNA". Rfam says of the family: Transfer RNA (tRNA) molecules are approximately 80 nucleotides in length. Their secondary structure includes four short double-helical elements and three loops (D, anti-codon, and T loops). The record is from Rfam by way of RNAcentral. Lineage: Bacteria; Bacillati; Actinomycetota; Actinomycetes; Micrococcales; Cellulomonadaceae.